GUGCACCAGGCGCGAAUCUUCCACAAUGGGGGAAACCCUGAUGGAGCGACGCCGCGUGCGGGAUGAAGGCCCUAUGGGUUGUAAACCGCUGUUCAGUGGAAAGAACAUCCUCCGGCUGAAUAGGUCGGAGGCCUGACGUUACCACUGCAGAAAGUCCCGGCCAACUCCGUGCCAGCAGCCGCGGUAAUACGGGGGGGACGAGCGUUGUCCGGAAUCAUUGGGCGUAAAGGGCGCGUAGGCGGCGAGGAAAGUCGAAUGUGAAAUCUUGCGGCUCAACUGCAAAAACUGCGUUCGAAACUUCCUCGCUUGAGUAUGAGAGAGGUGUGCGGAAUUCCUGGUGUAGCGGUGGAAUGCGUAGAUAUCAGGAGGAACACC
This 375-nucleotide ribosomal RNA is filed under the name uncultured microorganism. RNAcentral's name for it is "bacterial SSU rRNA". It matches the Rfam family "Bacterial small subunit ribosomal RNA", at positions 346 to 710 of the family's 1533-position model. The record is from RNAcentral.